CCUACGGGUGGCAGCAGUGAGGAAUAUUGGUCAAUGGACGCAAGUCUGAACCAGCCAUGCCGCGUGCAGGAAGACUGCUCUAUGAGUUGUAAACUUCUUUUGUACGAGAGUAAACGCAGAUACGCGUAUCUGUCUGAAAGUAUCGUACGAAUAAGGAUCGGCUAACUCCGUGCCAGCAGCCGCGGUAAUACGGAGGAUUCAAGCGUUAUCCGGAUUUAUUGGGUUUAAAGGGUGCGUAGGUGGUUGGUUAAGUUAGUGGUGAAAGCUCGAGGCUCAACCUCGGAAUUGCAUCUGAUACUGGCCGUCUAGAGAGUAGUUGCGGUAGGCGGAAUGCAUGGUGUAGCGGUGAAAUGCUUAGAGAUCACACAGAACACCGAUUGCGAAGGCAGCUUACCAAGCUACUUCUGACGUUGAGGCACGAAAGCGUGGGGAGCAAACAGGAUUAGAUACCCGAGUAGUC
RNAcentral lists this ribosomal RNA (460 nucleotides) under uncultured bacterium. RNAcentral describes it as "partial 16S ribosomal RNA". It matches the Rfam family "Bacterial small subunit ribosomal RNA", at positions 338 to 795 of the family's 1533-position model. The record is from RNAcentral.